AUCGCUUCUUAGGCUUUUGGCUAAGAUCGAGUGUAAUAUCUGUUCUUAUCAGUUUAAAAAAUUAACAAGAAAGUAUAAGAGUUAUACUUUUAUUAUAAAAGUAUAAGAACAUUU
Molecule: small nuclear RNA, 114 nt
Organism: Pan troglodytes (chimpanzee)
Lineage: Eukaryota; Metazoa; Chordata; Mammalia; Primates; Hominidae
Rfam family: U2 spliceosomal RNA
About the family: U2 is a small nuclear RNA (snRNA) component of the spliceosome (involved in pre-mRNA splicing).
Source: Rfam